AGCUUGUUGGUGAGGUAACGGCUCACCAAGGCGACGACGGGUAGCCGGCCUGAGAGGGCGACCGGCCACACUGGGACUGAGACACGGCCCAGACUCCUACGGGAGGCAGCAGUGGGGAAUAUUGCACAAUGGGCGAAAGCCUGAUGCAGCGACGCCGCGUGAGGGAUGACGGCCUUCGGGUUGUAAACCUCUUUCAGCAGGGAAGAAGCGAGAGUGACGGUACCUGCAGAAGAAGCGCCGGCUAACUACGUGCCAGCAGCCGCGGUAAUACGUAGGGCGCAAGCGUUGUCCGGAAUUAUUGGGCGUAAAGAGCUCGUAGGCGGCUUGUCGCGUCGGUUGUGAAAGCCCGGGGCUUAACCCCGGGUCUGCAGUCGAUACGGGCAGGCUAGAGUUCGGUAGGGGAGAUCGGAAUUCCUGGUGUAGCGGUGAAAUGCGCAGAUAUCAGGAGGAACACCGGUGGCGAAGGCGGAUCUCUGGGCCGAUACUGACGCUGAGGAGCGAAAGCGUGGGGAGCGAACAGGAUUAGAUACCCUGGUAGUCCACGCCGUAAACGGUGGGCACUAGGUGUGGGCGACAUUCCACGUCGUCCGUGCCGCAGCUAACGCAUUAAGUGCCCCGCCU
This 621-nucleotide ribosomal RNA is filed under the name Streptomyces sp. CVAYE2. Its description in RNAcentral is "bacterial SSU rRNA". It matches the Rfam family "Bacterial small subunit ribosomal RNA", at positions 243 to 874 of the family's 1533-position model. The record is from RNAcentral. Lineage: Bacteria; Bacillati; Actinomycetota; Actinomycetes; Kitasatosporales; Streptomycetaceae.